UCGCGCCGUCCACCAUACCGUCGCCUCAUCUCCCUCUUCCUCUUCCUCUUCCUAGAUCGACGCCGAAAUUAGGGACCGUCAAUCCCUAAUUCUCAUCACCCUCCGCCCUCUCCCUCCUCCGCUCCUCGUCAAUCCACCGCCCACCUCCCUCUCCCUCCUCCAUUUCGCUCGCCUCUGCUACUUCUCCUCCUCCUUAUCGAGCCUCCUCUUGUUUUCUCUUUGAGAUCCUCGCCUCCUCCACCCCUUCCUCCGUCGAGCCUCCGCUUGUUUUCUCAUCACCCUCCUCCCUCUCCCUCCUCCACUCCUCAUCAAUCUUGCAUCUGCCACUCGUAGUUACGGAUCUGUGGUUGUUCAUCCCCUGCUGGCCAUGCCCACCACAAGCGCCCUGGGGACCGGCCCUUUGGAGGUUCGGUUCAAUAAGGUAAUUGAGUCGCUCGUGGAUCAAAUUGAUCUAUCGGAAGAAGAGGCAGAAGUGUGCCUCAAGCUUCUACUCAAUGAAGCCAACGAGGCUUUAAUUAGAGCCUUCUCCAAGAGAGGAAAUGUGGACAAUAGUGUUAAAUGCAAUUGCGCAGAUCUUUUCCAGAGACUGUUUAGCCAAGCCCAUUCUUUACAAAGUAACUGAAAGCUUUUGAGGUGUGGCUAGCCCAUGGCUCCGAACAUAAGAAACCACCAGAACAGCUACCAGUAGUUCUUCAGUCUUGUCAGGUAGAUCUGGUGAAAGAUGGUGGUCACACAUAUUUUAUCAGGUUUCAUGAUAGCAUGGAUGCCUAUGCUGAGCAGCGAGCAAUGGCUGCUUUUGUCUUGGCAGUUGUAGUGGAUGGACAUCGGCGGAGACAAGAAGCAUGUAUUCAAGCAAAUUUUUUAAAUGUGUCCCUGAAGCAUUUACAAAUUGCUAAUCCAAGUGAUGGGCAAACUGAACCUUUACUUCUCCAUGGCUUUGUUUAUGUCUGGGCCAGGAAAGCUCUGGGAAGAUUUUCCAUAAGUACAAAUCAUAGGUUCUCUUGCAGAUGGAGUAGCAACUAUUUUACCUUAAUUGCUGGAACCAUAGCCUGAGGUAGAAUUUAUACAUCUUUGUAGUCUAUGUUUUACUAGGAAAAUUCUUGUAGUUCAACAUCUGUUUGGUAGGUUAGAGCUUCUGCUAUUUUUGCUUUGGGGACUCUUAUUGAUGUUGCAUCUAUCACAUUUGAUGAUGGACAUAGAGUCGAUGAGGACUUUGAGAAUAAUGAAAAGUUAAAGUCUGAGUUGAAUAUCAUUAAAAAUCUUCUACAACUUGCUGUGGAUGGAAGUCCUUUGGUGAGGGCUGAGGUUGCUGUAGGUAUGUGCAACUAUUAAAGCUUUACUUAUAUGUUGUUUUCUUAUUGGAUUCUCAAGUUUCUGCUCUUAAUUUGAUUUCACAACUAAGGUGUUAUUAACUAAGACUCAAUUGUUUCACAGCUCUUGCUCGCUUUGCCUUUGCUCACAACAAACCUCUUAAGUUAACUGCCGUUGAAAAUGGGAAGCAUCUAAGCUCUUUGCCAUUCUGGCCAGCAUAAAUCAUCCUAAUAGCUUAUCACCCAGUCAAUUUAUGCAGUCAGGAAGAACCAUCGCACAUAUUGGUCCUACAUUAAGAGGCAACCGUGAGAAUAAUACAACUGGUAGAGAAGCAAGGAUAUCCAGAAGUAGUCCUAUUGCAUCGGUUGGCAUAAACUGUUAGAAUCAUUUAUAAUGCAUUUUUAGAAAAUGAGAAUAUCAUAUACAAUAAAACAUUGGUAUCAUAUACAAUUAAACAUUGGUCCUUGCGUAUUCCCAGGAUAUGUUAAUGCCGUAGCCAACAUUCCAUAGCUUUCUACUUAUAUUUCCUUCUAACAACUCAAAAAAACUUUUAACAGAUUCUAUUGAUUCAAUUGUUCAUGUUCCUUGAACAAUGCUUGAUGUAUAUUUAUUUAUCAAGUGAUGAAGAAGCUUAUGACUAGUUUGUUUCACUUUUUUUUUUUGUUUCCCAAGCAAAAGGUAUGUUAUUAUUAUUAUUAAAGUUAUAAACCGUGUUCUUUCUGUCUGUUGUUCUUCAUCAAGCAGGAUGGACUGCAAGCACAUUUAUGAGAAGGAACCAGUAAUCCACUACAUAAGCACAAAGAAACCACAUCCUCGAUGCCCAGUUGCAGGUUGCCUAAAAAUUCUCCAAGUUGGACGGGUUGUAUGUGACGCCUUGCUUACAAUAGAAAUUGAUGAAAUGCGUUUGGCAUCAGCUACAAACAUAAAGUCAACAAUGGUAGAAGAUUUUUACAGAAGUUGACUGAAAAUGGCAACACUGCUCCCCGCAACUAUAAGCUUGAUAUAAUUUUUCAAGGUGAUUUAACCUCUGUCGGUGAUUUAUCAUCAGCCAAUGCGAUUUAGGCAUCAUAGUUAAUUAUCUUUUGAUGUUGUAAGAAGAAUAUUUGUGUAAUUUGUGGAUACAGACUUGAUGUGUACAAUAUCUAUUAUCUUUUUAUAUUGUGAGAAUAA
Molecule: long non-coding RNA, 2481 nt
Organism: Zingiber officinale
Lineage: Eukaryota; Viridiplantae; Streptophyta; Magnoliopsida; Zingiberales; Zingiberaceae
Exons: 5
Source: RefSeq, a predicted model, not a curated record